Molecule: ribosomal RNA, 406 nt
Filed under: uncultured bacterium
Lineage: Bacteria
Description: partial 16S ribosomal RNA
Rfam family: Bacterial small subunit ribosomal RNA
Source: RNAcentral
AUUGAACGCUGGCGGCAGGCCUAACACAUGCAAGUCGAGCGAGCGGCGGACGGGUGAGUAAAGUCUGUGAAACUGCCUCAUGGAGGGGGAUAACAACUGGAAACGGUAGCUAAUACCGCAUACCAUCAGAUGUGCCCAGAUGGGAUUAGCUAGUAGGGGGGGUAACGGCUCACCUCUGCGACGAUCCCUAGCUGGGCUGAGAGGCUGACCAGCCACACUGGAACUGAGACACGGGCCAGACUCCUACGGGAGGCAGCAGUGGGGAAUAUUGCACAAUGGGCGCAAGCCUGAUGCAGCCAUGCCGCGUGGAUGAAGAAGGUCUUCGGAUUGUAAAGCACUUUAAGUUGGGAGGCGUUACCAACAGAAUAAGCACCGGCUAACUUCGUGCCAGCAGCCGCGGUAAUAC